AAAGUGAAUACUCCCUAUGUAUCACAAAUUUCCAAGCCUGGAAAAAUCCUCUGAUAUAGCCCAGUUGUUUAUACUUGAGGAAACUUUGAUCUACUUCAGUUAAAUGAGAUAUUCUAAGUCACAUGCUAAUUGGUAGAAGAGCUGAGACCCAACACUCAGUUUCCUAUUUCCAAAUGCAUUCUCUUUCUUUAUAGCACACUGCCAAUUUAGUGCUAAAAACAUUCAAUUCAACAAAUACUUAUAAAGUAUUUCUUACAUACCCAGCACUGGCUGGGUAUCCUAGGGUUAUGAAAUAAAUGUAAGCGAGCCUAACUGCCCAUAAAAUCCUAUCGGUCUCACUGAGAAAAUAAGGUACAUGCACAUGAAACAUACACAUUCCGUCUUACAUUGUUAUGUAACUGUAUGUCUGAAACAGGGCUAACACAACUCUCUGCAAUGGUGGAAUAGUUCUGUAUCUUUGCUGGUCAGUGUGGUCACCGAGCACGUGAAAUGUGGACCGUGUGUCUAGGAAGCUGAGCACUGUAAGGGUACACAUGCCCCUCGACUCACCACAGGGUUACAUCCUGAGAAACUCACGUAAGUCAAAACUAUCUUAAGUCAAAAAUGCAUUUAAUAACCUGAUAAAUCCAUCAUCAUGUCAAAAAAUUGUUAAGUCACACCAUUUUUAAUUUUAACUAAUCUAAAUUUAAGUAGCCUCCUGUGGCUAGUGGCUACCAUCUUGGACAUCACAGGUUUACAAAAAUGGUUAUAGACCUGGAUGGAAAAUGUCACAUGCAUUCUGUCAUUUCUCCUUCUGUGCCUAUGCCAGAAACUACUGUUGAUCACAGAAUUCUCUCCCUCUGAAUGUGGGCUGUCUCUCAGGAUUCUCCAUGCAACCGUUUCCAACUGCCAUGACUUGGUGUAUAAAACGAGACCUUUCUGUCAUUCUCGAUACGGCUAAAAGGUGACAAAGGUGAGCUGGAGGAGGAAGUACUUGAGCUGAGCUUCGAAAGAUACAGUCAGACAGGUUCACGCCAUUCCUGGAACCUGUCCGUCAUUCCCUCUCCACGCUGGGACCCUCACGCAGGCUGUUUCGAGCUGUCCCUGCCACCUGUCCCAACCUGCUUUGCCUGGUGAACCAUUGCUUGUCCUUCAGUGCUCAGUUAAGGCGGCACUUGGACUCCAAGAAACCUUCCCUGAUGGUCAUCUCCAACCCCAGAUUUCAUUUCUUCCAGCAAGUCUGAGCAUUCGUAAGCUUUGCCGAAGAAAAAGCGACACAUCUGAUUGUGGAAGGCUGCCCAAGACUACUCUCAAUGCAGGGUAUGUGCAACUUAUUAUCUUUCUAAAAUCUGAAAUAUUUGGGGAUUCUAAAACACAUCUGAUACAAAGGGUUUCAGACGAGGGUGUCUCCGGUGUACAUCAACGUGGAAAAGUAACUUGUCUACGUCACACACCUAGUAAGUGGCGAAGCCAGGACUGUGCUCCGGGGUCUGAUCUGCAGCCCUCGCCACGGACGACACCAGCAUGCUGCCUCUCUGCCGGCUACACGGUGCAAUCUGAAGUCCAAUGACUGCCUCGACUGUUUUUCUGAUGUGGCUCCAGGAAACAGGAUUCAGCAAGGCGGACAGCUGGAGCGGCCUUGUGUGGCCACCUACGAAGACCGGAUUCAGGCUGGCAAUGGAGCGGCUGAGCCUGUGCUUUGGCACGUGGCUCCGACCCUGUGCUCACAGCCCAUACCUGGACAGAGAGCAGCCAAGUCUUUGGUGAUCAAACCAUCACCUCCCAGAGUUUCCACAGGAGCCGCUGGGAAGCAUCAGGGCAGCUCUGCUAGGGAUCUGGAAUGAUCUUUCCACAUGUUUUUAGAAUCACACUGUGCAGGGGAUGGGAAAGCUGAGGGCGGGUGUGAGCACGAGGUGUGCAGGACUGCCCG
This is a non-coding RNA of Microcebus murinus (gray mouse lemur), 1909 nucleotides long. Lineage: Eukaryota; Metazoa; Chordata; Mammalia; Primates; Cheirogaleidae. The record is from RefSeq and is a predicted model, not a curated record.